CGGGCGUAGCAAUACGUCAGCGGCAGACGGGUGAGUAACGCGUGGGAACGUACCUUUUGGUUCGGGAUAACCCAGGGAAACUUGAGCUAAUACCGGGUAAGCCCUUACGGGGAAAGAUUUAUCGCCGAAAGAUUGGCCCGCGUCUGAUUAGCUAGUUGGUGAGGUAACGGCUCACCAAAGCGACGAUCAGUAGCUGGUCUGAGAGGAUGGCCAGCCACAUUGGGACUGAGACACGGCCCAA
RNAcentral lists this ribosomal RNA (241 nucleotides) under uncultured bacterium. RNAcentral's name for it is "partial 16S ribosomal RNA". It matches the Rfam family "Bacterial small subunit ribosomal RNA", at positions 67 to 334 of the family's 1533-position model. The record is from RNAcentral.